This 1084-nucleotide ribosomal RNA is filed under the name Fusarium sp. RNAcentral describes it as "eukaryotic LSU rRNA". The stretch from base 487 to 1084 matches the Rfam family "Eukaryotic large subunit ribosomal RNA", at positions 1 to 610 of the family's 3401-position model. Lineage: Eukaryota; Fungi; Ascomycota; Sordariomycetes; Hypocreales; Nectriaceae. The record is from RNAcentral.
CGGAGGGAUCAUUACCGAGUUUACAACUCCCAAACCCCUGUGAACAUACCACUUGUUGCCUCGGCGGAUCAGCCCGCUCCCGGUAAAACGGGACGGCCCGCCAGAGGACCCCUAAACUCUGUUUCUAUAUGUAACUUCUGAGUAAAACCAUAAAUAAAUCAAAACUUUCAACAACGGAUCUCUUGGUUCUGGCAUCGAUGAAGAACGCAGCAAAAUGCGAUAAGUAAUGUGAAUUGCAGAAUUCAGUGAAUCAUCGAAUCUUUGAACGCACAUUGCGCCCCGCCAGUAUUCUGGCGGGCAUGCCUGUUCGAGCGUCAUUUCAACCCUCAAGCCCUCGGGUUUGGUGUUGGGGAUCGGCGAGCCCUUGCGGCAAGCCGGCCCCGAAAUCUAGUGGCGGUCUCGCUGCAGCCUCCAUUGCGUAGUAGUAAAACCCUCGCAACUGGAACGCGGCGCGGCCAAGCCGUUAAACCCCCAACUUCUGAAUGUUGACCUCGGAUCAGGUAGGAAUACCCGCUGAACUUAAGCAUAUCAAUAAGCGGAGGAAAAGAAACCAACAGGGAUUGCCCUAGUAACGGCGAGUGAAGCGGCAACAGCUCAAAUUUGAAAUCUGGCUCUCGGGCCCGAGUUGUAAUUUGUAGAGGAUGCUUUUGAUGCGGUGCCUUCCGAGUUCCCUGGAACGGGACGCCAUAGAGGGUGAGAGCCCCGUCUGGUUGGAUGCCAAAUCUCUGUAAAGCUCCUUCAACGAGUCGAGUAGUUUGGGAAUGCUGCUCUAAAUGGGAGGUAUAUGUCUUCUAAAGCUAAAUACCGGCCAGAGACCGAUAGCGCACAAGUAGAGUGAUCGAAAGAUGAAAAGCACUUUGAAAAGAGAGUUAAAAAGUACGUGAAAUUGUUGAAAGGGAAGCGUUUAUGACCAGACUUGGGCUUGGUUAAUCAUCUGGGGUUCUCCCCAGUGCACUUUUCCAGUCCAGGCCAGCAUCAGUUUUCCCCGGGGGAUAAAGGCGGCGGGAAUGUGGCUCUCUUCGGGGAGUGUUAUAGCCCGCCGUGUAAUACCCUGGGGGGGACUGAGGUUCGCGCAUCUGCAAGG